This 253-nucleotide ribosomal RNA is filed under the name uncultured bacterium. RNAcentral's name for it is "partial 16S ribosomal RNA". It matches the Rfam family "Bacterial small subunit ribosomal RNA", at positions 524 to 776 of the family's 1533-position model. The record is from RNAcentral.
GACGUAGGGCGCGAGCGUUGUCCGGAUUUAUUGGGCGUAAAGAGCUCGUAGGCGGCCUGUUGCGUCCGCUGUGAAAUCCCGGGGCUCAACCCCGGGCCUGCAGUGGAUACGGGCUGGCUAGAGGCAGGCAGGGGAGAACGGAAUUCCUGGUGUAGCGGUGAAAUGCGUAGAGAUCGUAAGGAAGACCAGUGGCGAAGGCGGGUCUCUGGACAGUUCCUGACACUGAGGCACGAAAGCCAGGGGAGCAAACGGG